GCCACAACGUCAGAUCAUAGACUAGCGGAAGAUGAAAUUACACAGCACACAAACUGAUUAGGACUGUCGACAGGGAUAAAAACUAUUUCAUAGUUUACAAGUGAGAGUUAGUGGAUGAUUAAAUCAAAAUUGAUCAACGAAAUUCACGAUCGCCGAUAGAAUUAAAAAAGAGAGUAAGCGACUGUUUCUCAAUUUGAACCAAACAUAUUCGAGAUCAAUACCUGAUUCAUCGACCGGAGACACAAGCUCGUAAGGAAACAAAACAAUCAAAGAGACAAAGACAGUGACGACGGCGCAAUACAGAAGAUCCAGGCAUGCAAUUUCUGUGGCAAUGAAGAUUGUAACGGAAUCGAUGCAUACCGUGUGUUGUUGAGCUGAUUGUUUGAGCAGAAAUCAGAGGAUCGUCAGAUCAAUCUGCGGAGAGUCUCGGGAAGGAAGUAGACGAAAACAAAGAAGGUGAAUUAUAU
Molecule: long non-coding RNA, 467 nt
Filed under: Linum usitatissimum (flax)
Lineage: Eukaryota; Viridiplantae; Streptophyta; Magnoliopsida; Malpighiales; Linaceae
Description: long non-coding RNA (LUSI_LNC004704)
Source: RNAcentral